This 465-nucleotide ribosomal RNA is filed under the name uncultured Klebsiella sp. Its description in RNAcentral is "bacterial SSU rRNA". It matches the Rfam family "Bacterial small subunit ribosomal RNA", at positions 338 to 795 of the family's 1533-position model. The record is from RNAcentral. Lineage: Bacteria; Pseudomonadati; Pseudomonadota; Gammaproteobacteria; Enterobacterales; Enterobacteriaceae.
CCUACGGGAGGCUGCAGUGGGGAAUAUUGCACAAUGGGCGCAAGCCUGAUGCUGCCAUGCCGCGUGUGUGAAGAAGGCCUUCGGGUUGUAAAGCACUUUCAGCGGGGAGGAAGGCGUUAAGGUUAAUAACCUUGGCGAUUGACGUUACCCGCAGAAGAAGCACCGGCUAACUCCGUGCCAGCAGCCGCGGUAAUACGGAGGGUGCAAGCGUUAAUCGGAAUUACUGGGCGUAAAGCGCACGCAGGCGGUCUGUCAAGUCGGAUGUGAAAUCCCCGGGCUCAACCUGGGAACUGCAUUCGAAACUGGCAGGCUAGAGUCUUGUAGAGGGGGGUAGAAUUCCAGAUGUAGCGGUGAAAUGCGUAGAGAUCUGGAGGAAUACCGGUGGCGAAGGCGGCCCCCUGGACAAAGACUGACGCUCAGGUGCGAAAGCGUGGGGAGCAAACAGGAUUAGAUACCCUUGUAGUC